RNAcentral lists this ribosomal RNA (497 nucleotides) under uncultured bacterium. RNAcentral describes it as "partial 16S ribosomal RNA". It matches the Rfam family "Bacterial small subunit ribosomal RNA", at positions 28 to 507 of the family's 1533-position model. The record is from RNAcentral.
GAUGAAUGCUGGCGGCGUGCCUAAUACAUGCAAGUCGAGCGAACGGACGAGAAGCUUGCUUCUCUGAUGUUAGCGGCGGACGGGUGAGUAACACGUGGAUAACCUACCUAUAAGACUGGGAUAACUUCGGGAAACCGGAGCUAAUACCGGAUAAUAUUUUGAACCGCAUGGUUCAAAAGUGAAAGACGGUCUUGCUGUCACUUAUAGAUGGAUCCGCGCUACAUUAGCUAGUUGGUAAGGUAACGGCUUACCAAGGCAACGAUGCAUAGCCGACCUGAGAGGGUGAUCGGCCACACUGGAACUGAGACACGGUCCAGACUCCUACGGGAGGCAGCAGUAGGGAAUCUUCCGCAAAGGGCGAAAGCCUGACGGAGCAACGCCGCGUGAGUGAUGAAGGUCUUCGGAUCGUAAAACUCUGUUAUUAGGGAAGAACAUAUGUGUAAGUAACUGUGCACAUCUUGACGGUACCUAAUCAGAAAGCCACGGCUAACUACGUG